GACGAACGCUGGCGGCGUGCUUAACACAUGCAAGUCGAACGAAGAGCGAUGGAAGCUUGCUUCUAUCAAUCUUAGUGGCGAACGGGUGAGUAACGCGUAAUCAACCUGCCCUUCAGAGGGGGACAACAGUUGGAAACGACUGCUAAUACCGCAUACGAUCUAAUCUCGGCAUCGAGGAUAGAUGAAAGGUGGCCUCUACAUGUAAGCUAUCACUGAAGGAGGGGAUUGCGUCUGAUUAGCUAGUUGGAGGGGUAACGGCCCACCAAGGCGAUGAUCAGUAGCCGGUCUGAGAGGAUGAACGGCCACAUUGGGACUGAGACACGGCCCAGACUCCUACGGGAGGCAGCAGUGGGGAAUCUUCCGCAAUGGACGAAAGUCGGACGGAGCAACGCCGCGUGAGUGAUGACGGCCUUCGGGUUGUAAAGCUCUGUUAAUCGGGACGAAAGGCCUUCUUGCGAAUAGUGAGAAGGAUUGACGGUACCGGAAGAGAAAGCCACGGCUAACUACGUG
RNAcentral lists this ribosomal RNA (510 nucleotides) under uncultured bacterium. RNAcentral's name for it is "partial 16S ribosomal RNA". It matches the Rfam family "Bacterial small subunit ribosomal RNA", at positions 28 to 507 of the family's 1533-position model. The record is from RNAcentral.